CAACACGACUCAUUCGGAUAGUGCUUAUCUUUUAUCUCCCUUUGUCAUGUCUAAAUCGACUCGGUUUUUUGUUUGACGAUUUGGUUAGGUCGGCCCAUAAUUUACCUUACAUCUCUGGGCCAUAAGGACGUGUCUGGUUUUUGAUAUUCGGCGUUGGGAGCAGUUGACAACCAACUAAUUCAGGGUUAAUCUUUUGAGGCAUCAGAGAUGGGUUCGGUAUCCAAUAUUAAGAUUGUGGAUUGGAAUGCAAGCAUGCAAUUGCCAACUUGAUCAUGUACUUCACUACCUCCUCAACUUCAGAAGACGGAGGUGAAAGGCGUUGGUCCAAUACAUCGCUCAGUGCUACAUUUUCAACAGCUGAUGUCGAUAGAAAGGAAACAAAAUCUCCUGGAUGCUUUCCCUUGAUCACUUCCAGUGCUAACACUCCAAAGCUAAACACGUCACACUUCUCAGUUACCUUCAUUGUGUAGGCAAGCUCUGCGAAAGGAGAGAGAGAGAGAGACCGAUAAGAGUUUGUAACACCACUUUCGAUAACCCUAAGAAAUUGAACUUCAGUUAUAAUUAGCCAGGGGUGCGCAAUGUUAUAAGCGGGUAAACAUGGUCCAUGUAUGAGUAUACAAAUUGUAUGAUCUGGUGUGUCUGUCCAACAUGAAGGUAUAUAAAAGAGGAAUUGAGGGGAAGCAAGUCGGGCUAAAUAGGGAAUCUGACAUUCGAAUUGGAUUUGAGAAAUAAGAAGAUAUAUGGUGUGAAGUAUUGUAUCACGGGAAUUAUGAUGUAUAAUGACUUUUUAUCGGGUGGGCUAUUACGAAGGCAAUGAUGAGUAUAUGCUUUA
This is a long non-coding RNA of Rhododendron vialii, 832 nucleotides long. RefSeq lists it as uncharacterized. Lineage: Eukaryota; Viridiplantae; Streptophyta; Magnoliopsida; Ericales; Ericaceae. The transcript is spliced from 2 exons. The record is from RefSeq and is a predicted model, not a curated record.